RNAcentral lists this ribosomal RNA (346 nucleotides) under uncultured eukaryote. RNAcentral describes it as "partial 18S ribosomal RNA". It matches the Rfam family "Eukaryotic small subunit ribosomal RNA", at positions 1470 to 1796 of the family's 1831-position model. The record is from RNAcentral.
CCCUUAGAUGUUCUGGGCCGCACGCGCGCUACACUGAUGACUUCAACGAGUUUUUUCUAUUUGGAAAUGUCCUUAACCGGAAGGUUUGGGUAAUCUUUUAAAUGGUCAUCGUGAUGGGGCUAGAUUCUUGCAAUUAUUAAUCUCCAACGAGGAAUUCCUAGUAAACGCAAGUCAUCAACUUGCAUUGAUUACGUCCCUGCCCUUUGUACACACCGCCCGUCGCACCUACCGAUUGAACGGUUUAGUGAGGGCCUCGGAUUGGUCUCGGCCCGCUCUUUACCGGGCGGCGCCGUUGGUCGAGAAGACGCUCGAACUUGAUCGUUUAGAGGAAGUAAAAGUCGUAACA